RNAcentral lists this ribosomal RNA (388 nucleotides) under uncultured Surirella. Its description in RNAcentral is "partial small subunit ribosomal RNA". It matches the Rfam family "Eukaryotic small subunit ribosomal RNA", at positions 30 to 432 of the family's 1831-position model. Lineage: Eukaryota; Bacillariophyta; Bacillariophyceae; Surirellales; Surirellaceae. The record is from RNAcentral.
GCUUGUCUCAAAGAUUAAGCCAUGCACGUCUAAGUAUGAAUCUAUUACUUUGAAACUGCGAAUGGCUCAUUAUAUCAGUUAUAGUUUAUUUGAUAGUCCCUUACUAUUUGGAUAACCGUAGUAAUUCUAGAGCUAAUACAUGCGCUGACACCUGUUUUAGGUGGUAUUUAUUAGAUGAAAACCAACCCCUUUGGGGUGAUGUGGUGAUUCAUAAUAAGCAUGCGGAUCGCACGGUCUGUCCGGCGAUGGAUCAUUCAAGUUUCUGCCCUAUCAGCUUUGGACGGUAAGGUAUUGGCUUACCGUGGCUUUAACGGGUAACGGGGAAUUAGGGUUCGAUUCCGGAGAGGGAGCCUGAGAGAUGGCUACCACAUCCAAGGAAGGCAGCAGG